Podospora aff. communis PSN243 is the source of this 98-nucleotide non-coding RNA. The record is from the annotation of a GenBank genome assembly. Lineage: Eukaryota; Fungi; Ascomycota; Sordariomycetes; Sordariales; Podosporaceae.
GCGGGUUUAGCUCAGUUGGGAGAGCGUCAGACUGAAGCAUCACUUCAUUCAAUCUAAUUGAUAUCUGAAGGUCAUGUGUUCGAUCCACAUAAACCGCA